GUAAAUUUAAGAUAUUCACAAUCUUUGUGUCUUUUAAACAUAAAAAGCUUUUGCAAUUUACC
Molecule: transfer RNA, 62 nt
Filed under: Histiostomatidae sp. XFX
Lineage: Eukaryota; Metazoa; Arthropoda; Arachnida; Sarcoptiformes; Histiostomatidae
Description: tRNA-Lys
Source: RNAcentral